Long non-coding RNA from Triticum aestivum (bread wheat), 1082 nucleotides. RefSeq lists it as uncharacterized. The record is from RefSeq and is a predicted model, not a curated record. The transcript has 2 exons. Lineage: Eukaryota; Viridiplantae; Streptophyta; Magnoliopsida; Poales; Poaceae.
CUAACCCACCCAUAGCGGUAGAACGAUCGGAGCGGGUCAUCUUCCCCAACUCCGGCAACCACGGCCGCCGCCUCUUUCUCGUUCAUGUCGACGCCAUUAGGGCCUCCCCCUCUCCACUCUCUUCACCAACAGCACCCUGGAGCACCCACGAAUCCAACCCACCUCUCGAUUCUGCUCAGGAGCCGCCGUAGGCGAAAGCUCAAUCCCACCCGACGCCACCGUCCACCGAAGAGCUCGCCGCCGGUGACUCCGUCCACUCCGACGACCAAGGAGGGUACCCACGGGUUCGCCUCGACCUCCUGAGCUCGAAGGUGGCCUCGGUUUUCCGAACGGUGCCACCGUUCACCGGCACCGAUCGCCGGAGCUCCGCCUCUGUUCGGUCGGAGGAGACGGCGCGCGCGUGGACUGGUCAAACCUGACCGGUGGGCCGGGCGGGCCCACCGUCAGUGACUCAGCGCCGUGCCAACUCGUCUUAAGUGGAGACGAGUUCCGUUGAAGUUGCCUUCCUGCGUGGAAAGUGUAUUUCUUGGACUACGCUUUCGGCGUCGCAGCCCUCCCACGCAGCCAAACAACUGGGCUUGGCCCAGUAGCGCCAGGCGGCUAUACCGCGGCCAGGGCGCGUCUCUACUCAGCCAAUCACAAUCAUGACUCAGAGAGGAGCAUUACGGAGACUCCCCCGCAACCUAGGAUUCGGAGAUAACAGCCACGUGAGAUAGGAGUUAUCCAGGUCAGCUGUUCCCGUGGGAAUGGAGUCCCAUCAACAUUGGAGAUCCACGAGUCGCUUCCGUCAUCCACCACUAGAGAUCCUUGUUAUAUUCAUUGGACCUUUGUGGUCUUGUAUCCAAUCUCUUGUAAUUGCUUGGAAUUCUAUAUCAAGGAAAUGUCCACCAGCAACAGUAAUCCUGGGGCUGGUGAUGACACAAUGGUUGUUUACUGGGAUUUAUGUCCCGGAAAUCCGGCCCCGACACCCAUGUCUUAUUUUAGGAUUGCAUUUGAAUUAAAUGACAUGGUUAGAAGAAACUCCCCUUGUAACGGUGCAUACCCACACAAGAAUGAUAUAUCGACAUGGAACAUUUUACUAA